RNAcentral lists this ribosomal RNA (199 nucleotides) under uncultured bacterium. RNAcentral describes it as "partial 16S ribosomal RNA". It matches the Rfam family "Bacterial small subunit ribosomal RNA", at positions 328 to 539 of the family's 1533-position model. The record is from RNAcentral.
ACGCUCGACACCUACGGGAGGCAGCAGUGAGGGAUAUUGGUCAAUGGGGGAAACCCUGAACCAGCAACGCCGCGUGAGGGAUGACGGUCUUCGGAUUGUAAACCUCUGUCCUCUGUGAAGAUAAUGACGGUAGCAGAGGAGGAAGCUCCGGCUAACUACGUGCCAGCAGCUGCGGUAAUCUGAGGCGGGCUGGCAAGGC